GAGUUUGGCUUGUUGUUAUGAACAUUGUUCGUUUUCGCCAGUUUGAAGGUUUUUUAGCAUGUGUAAUGGCAUGAAUGUGUUGAAUUAGUAAUCCCUUGUGUAAAGAUGUUGUUUUAGUGUUUUUUUGAUGAGUUUGGCUUGUUGUUAUGAAAAGUGUUUGUUUUGGCGAGUUUGAACGUUUUUGAGCAUAUGUAAUGGCAUGAAUGCAUUAAGCUGUUGUUUUAGUGUUCUUUUGAUGAGUUUGGCUUGUUGUUAUGAACAUUGUUCGUUUUGAUCAGUUUGAAGGUGUUUUUAGCAUGUGUAAUGGCAUGAAUGUGUUGAAUUAGUAAUCCCAUGUGUAAAGCAGUUGUUUUAGUGUUCUUUUGAUGAGUUUGGCUUGUUAUGAAAAGUUUUUGUUUUGGCCAGUUUGAACGUUUUUGAGCAUGUGUAAUGGCAUGAAUGCGUUAAGCUGUUGUUUUAGUUUUCUUUUGAUGAGUUUGGCUUGUUAUGAACAUUGUUCGUUUUCGCCAAUUUGAAGGUUUUUUAGCAUGUGUAAUGGCAUGAAUGUGUUGAAUAAGUAAUCCCUUGUGUAAAGAUGUUGUUUUAGUGUUCUUUUGAUGAGUUUGGCUUGUUGUUAUGAAAAGUGUUUGUUUUGGCGAGUUUGAACGUUUUUGAGCAUGUGUAAUGGCAUGAAUGCGUUAAGCCGUUGUGUUAGUGUUCUUUUGAUGAGUUUGGCUUGUUGUUAUAAAAAGUGUUUGUUUUGGCGAGUUUGAACGUUUUUGAGCAUGUGUAAUGGCAUGAAUGUGUUGAAUUAGUAACCCCAUGUGUUAAGCUGUUGUUUUAGUGUUCUUUUGAUGAGUUUGGCUUGUUGUUAUGAAAAGUGUUUGUUUUGGCGAGUUUGAACGUUUUUGAGCAUGUGUAAUGGCAUGAAUGCGUUAAGCUGUUGUUUUAGUGUUCUUUUGAUGAGUUUGGCUUGUUGUUAUGAAAAGUUUUUGUUUUGGCCAGUUUGAACGUUUUUGAGCAUGUGUAAUGGCAUGAAUGCGUUAAGCCGUUGUUUUAGUUUUCUUUUGAUGAGUUUGGCUUGUUGUUAUGAACAUUGUUCGUUUUCGCCAGUUCGAAGGUUUUUUAGCAUGUGUAAUGGCAUGAAUGUGUUGAAUAAGUAAUCCCUUGUGUAAAGAUGUUGUUUUGGUGUUCUUUUGAUGAGUUUUGCUUGUUGUUAUGAAAAGUUUUUGUUUUGGCCAGUUUGAACGUUUUUGAGCAUGUGUAAUGGCAUGAAUGCGUUAAGCUGUUGUUUUAGUGUUCUUUUGAUGAGUUUGGCUUGUUGUUAUGAACUUUGCUCGUUUUGGCCAGUUUGAAGGUUUUUAGCAUAUGUAAUGGCAUGAAUGUGUUGUAUUAGUAAUCCCUUGUGUUAAGCCGUUGUUUUAGUGUUCUUUUGAUGAGUUUGGCUUGUUGUUAUGAAAAGUGUUUGUUUUGGCGAGUUUGAACGUUUUUGAGCAUGUGUAAUGGCAUGAAUGCGUUAAGCUGUUGUUUUAGUGUUCUUUUGAUGAGUUUGGCUUGUUGUUAUGAAAAUUGUUAGUUUUGGCCAGUUUGAAGGUUUUUGAGCAUGUGUAAUGGCAUGGAAGUGUUGAAUUAGUAAUCCCUUGUGUUAAGCUGUUGUUUUAGUGUUCUUUUGAUGAGUUUGGCUUGUUGUUAUGAAAAGUUUUUGUUUUGGCCAGUUUGAACGUUUUUGAGCAUGUGUAAUGGCAUGAAUGCGUUAAGCUGUUGUUUUAGUGUUCUUUUGAUGAGUUUGGCUUGUUGUUAUGAACAUUGUUCGUUUUGGCCAGUUUGAAGGUUUUUGAGCAUGUGUAAUGGCAUGAAAGUGUUGAAUUAGUAAUCCCUUGUGUUAAGCUGUUGUUUUAGUGUUCUUUUGAUGAGUUUGGCUUGUUGUUAUGAAAAGUGUUUGUUUUGGCGAGUUUGAACGUUUUUGAGCAUGUGUAAUGGCAUGAAUGUGUUGAAUUAGUAACCCCAUGUGUUAAGCCGUUGUUUUAGUGUUCUUUUGAUGAGUUUGGCUUGUUGUUAUGAAAAGUGUUUGUUUUGGCGAGUUUGAACGUUUUUGAGCAUGUGUAAUGGCAUGAAUGCGUUAAGCUGUUGUUUUAGUGUUCUUUUGAUGAGUUUGGCUUGUUAUGAAAAGUUUUUGUUUUGGCCAGUUUGAACGUUUUUGAGCAUGUGUAAUGGCAUGAAUGCGUUAAGCUGUUGUUUUAGUGUUCUUUUGAUGAGUUUGGCUUGUUGUUAUGAACAUUGUUCGUUUUCGCCAGUUUGAAGGUUUUUAGCAUGUGUAAUGGCAUGAAUGUGUUGAAUAAGUAAUCCCUUGUGUAAAGAUGUUGUUUUAGUGUUCUUUUGAUGAGUUUGGCUUGUUAUGAAAAGUUUUUGUUUUGGCCAGUUUGAACGUUUUUGAGCAUGUGUAAUGGCAUGAAUGCGUUAAGCUGUUGUUUUAGUGUUCUUUUGAUGAGUUUGGCUUGUUGUUAUGAACAUUGUUCGUUUUGGCCAGUUUGAAGGUUUUUUAGCAUUUGUAAUGGCAUGAAUGUGUUGAAUUAGUAAUCCCUUGUGUUAAGCCGUUGUUUUAGUGUUCUUUUGAUGAGUUUGGCUUGUUGUUAUGAAAAGUGUUUGUUUUGGCGAGUUUGAACGUUUUUGAGCAUGUGUAAUGGCAUGAAUGCGUUAAGCUGUUGUUUUAGUGUUCUUUUGAUGAGUUUGGCUUGUUGUUAUGAACAUUGUUCGUUUUGAUCAGUUUGAAGGUUUUUUAGCAUGUGUAAUGGCAUGAAUAUGUUGAAUUAGUAAUCCCAUGUGUAA
Molecule: non-coding RNA, 2805 nt
Organism: Xyrichtys novacula (pearly razorfish)
Lineage: Eukaryota; Metazoa; Chordata; Actinopteri; Labriformes; Labridae
Source: the annotation of a GenBank genome assembly